CAGCCGCCUAGAACCGCGGACUUGACCCCGCGCAUGCCCGGACUCUCCCAGCCUUAUAUAAUCUGACCGCUCUCGAUUAACCGUGUCGUGCGCCAUUGACGAGGAGAGAGAGAAGCGGGGACCACCAUUGAUGCAUCGUGAGCGCAGGAGAGAGAGAUGCAAGAAGAGAGAAAAUAGAGCUGGGCCACUGCGAGGGAGUCCUGGAUCACCAUCGAUCUGAGUCAAGCACGCGGCCAGAAAGAUCCCCGACGAGAAUAACUGAAUGUGAGGACCUGGGAUUUGUUCAUCAGCGAUUGCCGCUGCUGUGUGUCCGCCCCUCAUCGAGGCCUCCUCUAACCGUCGCUUAAUCACAGGUAAAAAGUCCCUAAAUGCAUUCGCGACACCUUAAUCUUCGUGUUCCCGUCGGUAAUUGGAUCUGCGUGAGCCUGCGUACUAGUUUGGUAUGUCGCCGUGGAGUGCCGCGCCGCCGGGUGUGUCGUGCGGGCCACUACUGCUGGGGGCUGAGAAGGAAGACGAUGGGAGAAACGUCGAUUUCUGGUGGAGGGCUCAGAUUGAACGCUGCGUACACCCCUUCGCUGGUUUGAUCUGAGCGGUUGGUUCCGAUCGGACGGACCUGGUGUGAUCACGGUUAUUUAAAAUAUAGGCCGUUGAUCUGGCCAGGGACGGAUACGAUUAGACUGGGCGCUUACCUCUUCGUUGGUUGAGUAUGUACUGUUGAUCUAUAAUCUAACGGUUGUGAUGCGCGCGGGGUUAGGCAGCCGAGCCAGCUUUACGUAAGAGCCCUCGAGAUUUAAGGUAAUAAACCCGCCGUCCAUUUUUUUAGUAUAAAGAAAGUAAAAUUAAAUGAAGACUUUGCGUUUUAGCCCAUGGGGUUUGUUUUUAGGCACAAAAUUGAUACAAAUAUGCACAAAAGCUAAGAAAAUCCAUAUCUUGCUCAUGUUAACUCCAUUUUAGUCCGUUUAAGUUGCGUUAGCUUCGUAAUAAAAUUAUCUACACUUUGGUAACCUUAUUUUAUCAUGAAACAUGUUUGUAAAUAAUUAAUUUGUUUACCCUAUGUUCAUUGGAUUAACUUCUUUAUUUAAAAUUAAAGUAAAAUUUUCGCUUCCUAGUUGUAAUUUGACUUAAAUAUGUUUUCUAAUCAAGUUAUAACUUGGGUUAAAAUUAAAUUAAUGGUUUCUUAGGAAUAUAUUUCUCACGUGAUUUAUAAUAAUCAACCUAGAACCUAGUUUUCCUGUUUAAUCACAUAAACCUUCGGAAAAUCAUAACUUUAUAACCGUAGCUCCUAAUUUAGCAAUUCUCGAGCCCGCGAUCUCAUAGCUUCGCGUAGAUUAUUAUUACACAGUUUAUUCUUAUAUUUGGUGUGAUGUUAAUUUUGUCUAUACCAUGUUUGUUUGUAUUGCUACGACUAGCGUGAGGUCACGAGUCACCUGAAGAUCAUCCUGGUACCUGGAAUCUCAAGUCCCAGGCAAGUUGUGCCCUUGAUCACUUCUUUUACCCACUCAUAUUCUAAUUAAUCAUAAUGAUCUGCAUAGGUUAAUUUGAUGGGACCUAAUAGGUUACCCUAGUUUGUCUAUCUUUAUGCCUUGUUUACCACUAAACUUUCUGGGUAGUACUUGCUAGUGCUAUAUGUGGAUUUGGGCAUUGAGAUACAUAUUAUUCAUACUUUUGUUAUCAGUUGCUAUUUACUGUUCAUGAUAAGAUCAUUCUGUUAAUUGGAACAUGGAGAACCACCCGGGAAAACAGUGCUACCACAAGGGUUUAAUGGGACGCCCUUGGCCGAUUAAUUAGGAAAGCUAGUGGAAGACUACCUUACCCGAAAGGGGCAAGGGCAGUAGGGGAGUGGUCAGUGUAGGGAGGCCCUCGGGAGGAUUUUGCUGCGAUGGCGGUCCUGCAAGGGAUUCCUGCAUUGGAGCUUCCUAUAAACUGUAGCGGGUUUUCUGAAGCUAGUGGAACUUUGUAAAGGCCUCGUAGUGUUACCCUGCCUCGCCUCCUCGAUAGAGGUGUAUGGGAAGUCGCGAUCCCUUGGCAGAUGGGUAACAUGACUUGUGGGUAAAGAUGCGCAACCUCUACAGAGUGUAAAACUGGUAUACUAGCCGUGCUCACGGUCAUGAGCAGCUCGGACACUCACAUGAUUAAAUUAUGAAACUUAAACUCAAUUUGUCAUAUGCAUUGCAUCGCAGGUGAGGUUGUUACUUUUGUUCUGCUACUUAAUUGGGUUGGUAUUUACUUAUACUUAGUAAUUGCUAAUAAAAUUUUGACCAACAUUAAAAGCAAUGCUCAGCUUCAACCAUCCUCUUUGGUAAGCCUUACACUUCACGUGAGCUCCCACCUUUGGCGAGUUCAUGCACAUUAUUCCCCACAACUUGUUGAGCUAUGAACGUAUGUGAGCUCACUCUUGCUGUCUCACACCCCCCCACAGGUCAAGAACAGGUACCGCAGGAUGAGGCACAUGGAGGAUGCUGUGAUGAGUUCGUGAGAGAGAUCUAGGCCGUCGUCUCCCAGUCAACUUUGGGUUGCUGGACCGUUGUCUCCUUUUGAUGUAAUUAUUUAUUGAUUUUGUAUAGAACUCUUGUUAUAUAGUAAAUAUGUGACAUUCGAUCCUGUGCCACUAUACAUCAUAUGUGUGAGACUUGGUCCCAGCACACCUGGUGUUUAUGUUCGCGCCCGGGUCUUGGUGCCCCGAAACCCGGGUGUGACAGAAGUGGUAUCAGAGGAAUGUUGACUGUAGGACGAAACCUAGAUAGAACCAGAUAACCAUUAUCUACUUACCUUUGCUACUCUGAUUCUUUUCUAAACUUUUCUUAAUCUUUUCUCAUCUAUUUCCGCUUUACUCUGAUUAUUCUUACCUUUUCCUUCUAAAGACAAAUGUGGAUUUCACACUUUGAAAUCCUGUGCCUAAAGUGACCUUUAGGAAUAGGAGACCUACUCUUAGGAACAAAAACAAAACUAUUUUUGUAGGUAUCUAUGUGCUUCAAUGUUUGUUCUUGUGAUACUUGUUUGAUUUGGAUCUUUGGUUGAGUGUGAGUAAUGUCCACGAUUACAUCUGCAUGUACAUAAUGCUUAUAAAACUAACUAGACAAAUUAGAUUAUUCCUCAUUAAUGUAGCUAGCCUAACAAUAUCUAUCUCAUCUUAAAAGAUUCUAUCCUACACUCAUAGAUCCAUCUCCUCUCAAAAGAUCCUAACUUAUCCUAAUCUAGCUUAAUAGAUUUACCUUAUCUUAAGAGAUACUCUAUUGUCUUAAUAGAAUCAUCCUAUCUUGAAAAAGAUUUCAUGUCAUCCUAAUAGAUCUAACUGACCUCAAAAGAUUCUACGUUAUCCUUAGGGACUUAUCUUGCCCUAAUUAGCGUAUUUAUCCCACUCUAGAAUAACCACCAUGAGCUAACCCAACCAAUAGAUUCUUGAUGGAUUGCAUAAUCUGUCUACCCUCACUUGACAACAAACAAGCUUUUGACCUACAUCAUGCACUCUAUCUCAUCCAUAACUAUCUUAACCACAUUUCCCCAACUCCAAUGAUAUACACUGACCUCGAAUCAAUGAGACCAAGACCAGAAAAGGACAAGAUCAACCUCGUCAAGAAAGGAGAGAAGUCAAACUUGAUCUUUAGAUGCAUUACCAUCCAACACGGAGUUCUUCUCACCAUAAACUGUCUUACCCUAGGCUAUUCUUGCCCUAACCUUCCUAUCUUUUAUCUUACAUAAUAAUGUGGUUAUACUCAUGCAUACCCAUGCUCUCCUAAUCACCCACCAAUGAUUACGAAAGAAAAUACCCUUCAUUCUUGAUCUAAUUAAAAAUUAAAAGCUAAAAUCACAAACCAAUUCUUUUGUAUCCCUUCUUCUAACAAAUCUCAAGGACGAGAUUUUUGUUAAGGGGGGUAGAAUUUGUAACACCUCAAAAUAAUGUUUUUGUGAACCGAGAAGCUCUUCAAAAUAUUUGGAUUGAAAUGUCUUUUAAACAAGAAUUGUAUUAUCUUUGGAAUCAUUUUCUUAAAAGAAAUAAAUGAUAAUAUUAUAUUAUUCAAAGCUAGAUUAGAUCUAGAAUACUAGAAUUUGACUUCAAAAUUCAUAAAAUAAACAAACAUGAAGAUUUUCAUUUAUUUAUAUGAGUGAAUUGUUUUUUGGAUUAUGUAUUCGCAUCUAUUCAAAAAAUGGAUAAAAUAAUUACUAUAAUUUUUUUAUUACAUCCCAUGCUAAGAUUUUUGUCGAAGCAUCUAAAUUGUAUUUGAAAUUUAAAACCAAAUCUGAAAUUGAAUAUAAAAUUAAAAAAAUAAAACAUAAACAAGUAGAAAAAAAAGAAACUAACAGCACCUGUUUGUUUUCCCAGCCGGCCCACACCCGCUAUGGUCAUGCACGACAUGUGCAUGGUGUGUUUUCGUUUUUCUUUCUUUUAUUUAUCUUAUUCUCUUUUCUCUAUUAUUUAUUCCUCCCAUCACGCACAACGUCAUGUAUGCUUUCUCCAAAUCGCUGCUCGCGAUGGCCGCGCGGGAGAUCCUGAAAUCACUUGCGUCGAUCUCGCUCGCCCAACUGAAUCCUCACCAGCCGCCUAGAACCGCGGACUUGACCCCGCGCAUGCCCGGACUCUCCCAGCCUUAUAUAAUCCGACCGCUCUCGAUUAACCGUGCCGUGCGCCAUUGACGAGGAGAGAGAAGCGGGGACCACCAUUGAUGCAUCGUGAGCGCAGGAGAGAGAGAUGCAAGAAGAGAGAAAAUAGAGCUGGGCCACUGCGAGGGAGUCCUGGAUCACCAUCGAUCUGAGUCAAGCACGCGGCCAGAAAGAUCCCCGACGAGAAUAACUGAAUGCGAGGACCUGGGAUUUGUUCAUCAGCGAUUGCUGCUGCUGUGUGUCCGCCCCUCAUCGAGGCCUCCUCUAACCGUCGCUUAAUCACAGGUAAAAAGUCCCUAAAUGCAUUCGCGACACCUUAAUCUUCGUGUUCCCGUCGGUAAUUGGAUCUGCGUGAG
RNAcentral lists this long non-coding RNA (4955 nucleotides) under Zea mays. RNAcentral describes it as "long non-coding RNA (ZMAY_LNC005621)". Lineage: Eukaryota; Viridiplantae; Streptophyta; Magnoliopsida; Poales; Poaceae. The record is from RNAcentral.